CUCCAGACUCCCAGUUUAGUGCUCUUUCUGCCACAUCUCCAGGUUCUCAUCCAGGGCAGGUGGCCUCAGCUCUGGGCUGGGCUUUGAGGCCGAGAAAGGACAUCUCCCACCUCCUUGGGGCCAGCCUCCUGCAGACGGAAAGGAAGGUUUCCUGCAGCCCAUAUCCAGCCAGAAACCUCCAGUGGCUCCCAUCUAGCUGCCUCAAGAAAUGCUUUUGAUCAUCUAAAUCCAGGGCUCAUCUGCACCCUCGUGUGGUCCCAGCAGAGAAGACGAGGCACCGAGCUUCUCAGGACUCCGUCCUCGGUAGGCUGAGCCGUGCAGCCGGCUGGUGACAGCGGGAGGACCAGACGACCUUACCCAGAGCCUCACAGGCUGCAGAGCUUUAAUUUAUUUAAUCAAUUCUGGUCCCCGGGCUGGGGAAGGAAAACGGCAGGAUAUUAAAUCUGUCGCUCUCGCCAAUCUGUCAUAGGGCUGUCAGUGCACAUUGAUUCUCCUCCUCCCGCCUUUAUUAA
RNAcentral lists this long non-coding RNA (512 nucleotides) under Macaca mulatta (Rhesus monkey). Its description in RNAcentral is "lncRNA (ENSMMUG00000058317.1)". Lineage: Eukaryota; Metazoa; Chordata; Mammalia; Primates; Cercopithecidae. The record is from RNAcentral.